CACCACCAAAGGGUUAGUAACGGUGGGGAACUGUUUGCACCCCGAAGCCUGAAAGAGUGAAGUAGGGUGGGAUUACCUGGAAAGAGAGAGAGAGACAGAAGGAGAAUGAGAUUGAGGGAAGGGCUGCCUGGCAGGGGAAGCUGACGCCUUCAGGCAAGUGAAGAAGCCAGCCCGCAGCAACUCUGCAGGGAAGAAUAUAGGGAAAUAAACGCCUUCAUCUCUCUCUUGUCCCACCCGCAGAGCUCCUUCUGGGAUUCUCUAUUGGCUGAACUCAGCCAGAAGCUGCCAAGGGAGACCCCCACAACUGGAUGCAGCCCACUGAAGUCAGCUUCCUGGGGUGCGUAGCUGAAGGUAGCAGGGAGCAAAAAGAAUCUGAAGGGGAAGUGAACAAUGUAGAGCGUAUCUGUGCUGAAGACGUAAGGAGAGAGUGGAGGUCAGAAGCUGGCAUGGUCCCUGGUGCAUGUAUCAGCCGCUAAAGCUGGAGUGGAUGAAUCAGAACUUUCCCCAUGGGAGCAUUUAUAAAAAGGGGACACCCAGCGCAGAAGAUGUUUUCCAGGGAGAUCUCGGGGAGCCCAACAAGCCAAGAAGAGCAGAGCAAAGCAUUCCAAGGAAGGACUCUAAGUCUGCAACCGAGCACACACGAGAAGCAAGACUGACCUCCUUGGAACAGACUUUCUGGACAAUUUGCUGGCAGAGGAAGAGACCACAAGAGGAAAAAAGUGGACUUCCUGCACAAGGAAAGACCAUGUGAAUACACAGCAAGAACGUGGUGCUCUGCAAGUCAGAAACAGACCCGUCAUCAGACACCAAAUCAGCCAGCACCUUGAUCUAGGAUUUCUGGCCUCCAAAACAGUGAGAAAAUAAAAUUCUGUUGUUUAAGCCAUGCAGCCUGUUGUAU
RNAcentral lists this long non-coding RNA (898 nucleotides) under Homo sapiens (human). RNAcentral describes it as "HSALNT0405445". Lineage: Eukaryota; Metazoa; Chordata; Mammalia; Primates; Hominidae. The record is from RNAcentral.